UGUAACUAACCCCUGACACUCCAUCAGUCAUUGUUCCUUGCCAACUUACCUUCCAUCUCCCCUCCUUCCUUGCUGGUAGAGCCUCAACUGUGUUGAGUAUAUAACACACUCUCUCCCACCCCUUACAUGCUUCAGAGGAUGGCAGUCCUAGCCCACACUUCAGGUGAAAGUGCUGAUUGAUUUACGACAACCAGGGGAAGAGUUGUUCCCUUUGUCAGUGAUUGGUUUGGGAGUUGACAGGUGACUGACUCAGUUCUGGCUAAUAAGAGGAAAGGGCAGGUCUGCUGGGGGCUGGAUGUUCUGAAACCGGUUUUGAACUCCUAAGGGGACAUUGGAAAAGACAGAAUCUCUGGAUUUUAUGUUUCCUGGAUGUGAUGGCUGAAAUAACUGCAUCAUCCUGUGACCUGAAAUGGCAAAGUGGAGCUACUGAAGAACCAGGGUCCACGAUGACGUGAUUGAGCCUCUGAAUUAAGGAGCCUCGAACUGACCCUACCUCUGGACUUUUCAGGUGAUAGAAACACAAAGAGAGUUAACUCAAUGAAAGGUGAAGUUACAAGCAAACCACAAGAAGGGUGGAGCUGGCCUCAUGCAUGAAUGGGCCCAGGAGUGGCUUGUGACAUGUACACAAUCAGGGCUCUGCAGUUCGCAAGGCUUUUCCUGGAACUUUAUGCCUUCAGGUUUCCCUGCUUGGCGGGAACAUGGCUGCUGGCCACUUCCAAGUGACAGUCGCACAGCUCCUGACAAGUGAGAAAAGAGAGACUCUUCUUCAGCUUCUACAGAAAUGUCUUGGAGACGGCUCCUGACUGGUUGUGCUUGGGAUGCAUGCCCAUCCUUGGACCAGUUUCUGUGGCUGCAGUACCAUGAUUAGCCCAGCCCGCACUGUGUGUCUGCUCUUGUGAGAAGGGUGGAUAUAUUAAAGGAAAGAAUUCUGGACAGAAAGGAAAAGGGCUAUCUCAUCCUCCCAGGGCUUCUUUACAGGCUACUAGGUUAGUGUUGGAUAAAUAGUGGUCGUCUCCAAAUACCUAGAAAACUUAUGAACACAAACUAGUCUCUCACUGGUCACAAAUGAACACGCACACACAGUGCACCCUUACAAGCUCCUUCCCAAUUUCAGAACUCCAUGCAGACACCAUGGGAAGAGCUCCAGCACCCAUAUUUUAGACCUGGGAACUUUCCACUCCCAAGCCUUUUACUCACACUCCUUAUCUUGAUGAUUUCCAGAUAGCGUGGAGCUUUCUCCCUACAGAAAGAAUGUAGCAGAGAGAAAAUUCCACAUACCAACUCACGCAUUGCAACGUUCUCAACCGCGUACAGCCUUGGCCUCAGUAACAUGACUUUGCCUGCCUGCUUUGGGAUUGAGGAUUCUCACUUCUGAGCCACUUAGCCCCCACCCCUUCUUCAUAGCCCACUCAAACCUGUUCAAUCUCCAGCAUGGAAAAGAGCAAGAGGGCAGUGAUUGCUGUGGAACCUGGAUGUCCCGGGGACACAGGCUGCACAUGGCAAAGGCCCACAGAACAUUUAUCCUGCAGCUCACCUGUCCUCAUGUCAAAUGCAAGAGAGGCAAGACACAGAGGGAGCUACCCCUCCCUUCUUUUCCUUGUUUCCACAAACUAGUAAAUCAGACUGUGAAUAGUGACAUGCUAGAAACUAAAAGUGCUUAGUCCAGUUUCCACGUGGGUCUAUCAGCCCAGAAAAUGAUGCAGGAAUUCUCAGCCAAGCAUUGCUCACAGCAGCCCUAAGAUAAUUUUGAUAGCAGAUGCUCGGGGCUGUUAAAGGAGAGUUUCAGUUUAUCCACCUUAUACGAGGAUCAUGUGUAAAUUUUAUAAUUGGAAAAAUGGUUAUUAUCAACUUUAAAUAAGUUAUGUUAGUCUGAAAGUGUUGGUUUCUCCUUCACUGAAAUGCUUGUCUCAUUUAAGCAAGAGGGAAUAAUACCUCUGUUGAUAUGGAAAUCGUCUUUGACAUUAGAAGUGACUUCAACAAAAGGCUUUUUCAUGUCUCAAUGAAAAAGCAAACCAAAGAAUUCAAAAGAAUAAGAAUAUUUGAGGCUCAUCUUCUUUUCCUUCUGUCUUAGUUUCCUAUUGCUUUUGUAACAAAUUACCAACUCAAUGGCCUAAAACAACACACUGUAUUCCCUUAUGGCUCUGGAAGCCAAAAGUGAAAUCAGUUUCGAGAAGCUAAAGGUGGGGUGUCCAUGGGGCUGCUUCCUCCUGGACACUCUCCGGGAGAAUUAUUUCCUUCCCUUUUCUACUUAGGCUGCAUUCCUUGCAUUCUUUGGCUCAUGACCCCUUCCUCCAUCUGCAAACCCCACAGAGUAGCAUCUUCAAAUCUCCAUGUCUGUCCUCACAUGGCUUUCUCUCUGACUGACUUCUACAUCGUUUUACAAGGCCCCUGUGAGUACAUACAUCAGGCCCACCCAGGAUAAUCCGAGAUAAUCUCCCUACGUCAAGACUCUUAAUUUAAUCACACCUGCCAAGUCCCUUUUACCCUGGAAGGUAACAUAUAUGCAGGUUCUGAGGAUUAGGAUGAGGACAUCUUUGGGGACCACUGUUCAUUAUUCAUCCUAUCACACCCUUUUACUAAAUGAACAAUGUAAAUCGAGAGAGAAAUGACACAUCACAGGACAUUUACUUUAGAUUAGUGUGUAGGGGAGGAAGACAUUCCCUCUUCCCAAAUGUGGGUUCGUCUGGCCGGAGAACGAAUUAAAUUCACAUGAGACAGAAUAGCAAGAGAAAAUUAAACAAAGCUUUAUGAGGAACCAUGGCCCGGGGCCUUUCUUCCCGAAGGAAGAAAGGGCACUAAAGAAGUGGGGUGCACAUAGUGGUUAUAUACCCCCAAACAGGGUGUUUCACAUGUGAUUGAAAUGUCCCUCCCACAAUAGUCACAAGAUUGCCCUGUCGGCACAGUGCUUGAUGGACUCAGCAGGUAGUGGUCUGCUGUCUCAGAGGGCGUAGCCGGAGGCAAGUCUAUUGUCUUGAGCUGGGUGGUCACAGGUGAGCUCAGCAAUCAGUUCCUAGCCUAAGGAAAGAUGCUUAAUCCUUAAAGAAAUGCCAACGUUGGGAGGGGGAGGGAAGUCAGCUACAGGAGGUUACCAGACAAGCACAAUAAAAUGCAGAUUUUAAGUCCUUGCCUUUGGUAUUGAUUAAGAGUUUUUAGAGAGAAGGUCAUCUCCUCUCUUCUUCCUGGUACAGAGAGGGAGGCACCUUAUACAGAUAGAGAUUUACCUUACAAAUGUAAAUGUGUCCUAAGGAAGGGCAAGUUCCAUUCCUCAGAGCCUCCCUCCCUGUCCCAGUUUAUCAAAAGCAAUCAGCCUCAAAUAAUCCUGAUGCCAAAGAGACAUAUCUUGGGGUGGCCAAUUUCAGGUCCCCACAAGUGAAAAACAGUGCAAACAUGUAACACAUCAGGUACUCCUUGCUUAGCUCCAAAGUUUUUCUCUUAGAGUUUUGUUGCCUGAAAAAAUACACUAAGAAGUUUUAAAAAAUAACAAUGUAUAUAUACCCUCAGUACACCUGGAUUAAUUUUUUUUGUGUAUGUGUGUAUAUAUAUAUAUAUAUAUACACACACAUAUACAUAUAUAUAUGUAUACAUGUAUAUAUAUGUAUAUAUAUGUAUAUCCUUGUGAAACCAUACCCAGAACAAGAAAGGGAACAUUUCUAGCACCUCUGAAGUCUUCCUUAUGAUCUGGCCAGUCAAUAACCACCCUAGAAGCCUCUGUUCUGAUGGCUCCCACCACAGAUUAGUCUCUACCUGUUCUUUUUUGUUUUUUUUUAAAAACAUUGUGAUGGAGGACUUUUUAUUAUCAUCAUCAUUAUUAUAAUUUACUGAGGAAGAUUUGCCCUGAGCUAACAUCCAUUGCCAAUCUUCCUCUUUUUUUCUUUUUUUUUUUUUUUAAUGUGAGGCACCACCACAGCAUGGCUGCUAACAGACAAGUGGUGUAGGUCUGCACCCGGGAACUGAAUCCGGGCCGCCAAAGCAGAGCACACCAAACUUAACCACUAGGCAACCAGGGCUGGCCCACUACCUGUUCAUGAACAUACAAACAGAUGAACUCUCUUGUAUUUAGCUUCUUUUGCUCAAUAUAAUGUCUGUGAGCUCUAUGCACGUUGUUGCAGGAAGCAGUCACUCAUGCUUUCUUUCUCUUUCUUACUGUAUGGAAUUCCUUUGCAUGAAUACCUAACCAUUUAUCCAUUCUACUGUUGAUGGACAUUUGGCUUGUAGCCAUUUUGGAGCCAUUACGAAUAAAUCUACUAUGAACAUAUUUGUGAACAUUAGAAAAAGUUUUCAAUAGAAGGUUAAGAAAAGAAGCCAUCUUCUCCCGCCCUGGAGGAGACUUUGCAAUUUGGAUCAUCUGUUAAAAUUUGGAUCAAAUAUGCUCCCUUCCCACCCCCCAAACCAAGAAGUCUUCCCUCACCCCAGUGAAUACCAAUGAUUUUGGCCUCUGGACUCCCAUGUCUAUAUUUGUUAUGCUUCGAUCUCCCCACCUGGAAAAGAUAAUGAAGAUGAACAAUUUUUUGGAUUUCCUUUCAGAGAAAAUUUUUGUAUAUACUUCCAUGUAUAUACUUAUACUUGGU
Molecule: long non-coding RNA, 4568 nt
Filed under: Equus caballus (horse)
Lineage: Eukaryota; Metazoa; Chordata; Mammalia; Perissodactyla; Equidae
Description: lncRNA (ENSECAG00000046848.1)
Source: RNAcentral